UUGACCUCGAAUCAGGUAGGAAUACCCGCUGAACUUAAGCAUAUCAAUAAGCGGAGGAAAAGAAACCAACAGGGAUUGCCCCAGUAACGGCGAGUGAAGCGGCAACAGCUCAAAUUUGAAAUCUGGCCCCUUGGGGCCCGAGUUGUAAUUUGCAGAGGAUACUUUUGGCGAGGCGCCUUCCGAGUUCCCUGGAACGGGACGCCAUAGAGGGUGAGAGCCCCGUCUGGUUGGAUGCCGAGCCUCUGUAAAGUUCCUUCGACGAGUCGAGUAGUUUGGGAAUGCUGCUCUAAAUGGGAGGUAUAUGUCUUCUAAAGCUAAAUAUUGGCCAGAGACCGAUAGCGCACAAGUAGAGUGAUCGAAAGAUGAAAAGCACUUUGGAAAGAGGGUUAAAAAGCACGUGAAAUUGUUGAAAGGGAAGCGCUUGUGACCAGACGUGGGCCUGUCGGAUCAUCCAGCGUUCUCGCUGGUGCACUCCGGCGGGCUCAGGCCAGCAUCAGCUCGUCCCGGGGGACAAAGGCAGCGGGAAUGUGGCUCCUUCGGGAGUGUUAUAGCCCGCUGCGUAAUGCCCUGGGGCGGGCUGAGGUUCGCGCAUCUGCAUG
This 599-nucleotide ribosomal RNA is filed under the name Claviceps purpurea (ergot fungus). RNAcentral describes it as "eukaryotic LSU rRNA". It matches the Rfam family "Eukaryotic large subunit ribosomal RNA", at positions 1 to 609 of the family's 3401-position model. The record is from RNAcentral. Lineage: Eukaryota; Fungi; Ascomycota; Sordariomycetes; Hypocreales; Clavicipitaceae.